GGGCUAAACCAUGCACCGAAGCUGCGGCAGCGAACGUAUCACCCAAGACAACUUUACGGAGUUGACGAUUGACGGAGCGAAGCGACGUCAAAGCGUUCAUUAAAGUCGAGUUGGCUUAGGGAUACGUUCGUUGGGUAGGGGAGCGUUCUGUAAGCCUGUGAAGGUGUGUCGUGAGGCAUGCUGGAGGUAUCAGAAGUGCGAAUGCUGACAUAAGUAACGAUAAAGCGGGUGAAAAGCCCGCUCGCCGGAAGACCAAGGGUUCCUGUCCAACGUUAAUCGGGGCAGGGUGAGUCGACCCCUAAGGCGAGGCCGAAAGGCGUAGUCGAUGGGAAACGGGUUAAUAUUCCCGUACUUGGUGUUACUGCGAAGGGGGGACGGAGAAGGCUAUGUUGGCCGGGCGACGGUUGUCCCGGUUUAAGCGUGUAGGUGUGUGUUCCAGGUAAAUCCGGUUCACUUUAACACUGAGGCGUGACGACGAGGCACUACGGUGCUGAAGCAACAAAUGCCCUGCUUCCAGGAAAAGCCUCUAAGCAUCAGGUAACACGAAAUCGUACCCCAAACCGACACAGGUGGUCAGGUAGAGAAUACCAAGGCGCUUGAGAGAACUCGGGUGAAGGAACUAGGCAAAAUGGUGCCGUAACUUCGGGAGAAGGCACGCUGACACGUAGGUGAAGUGAUUUACUCAUGGAGCUGAAGUCAGUCGAAGAUACCAGCUGGCUGCAACUGUUUAUUAAAAACACAGCACUGUGCAAACACGAAAGUGGACGUAUACGGUGUGACGCCUGCCCGGUGCCGGAA
RNAcentral lists this ribosomal RNA (798 nucleotides) under Salmonella enterica subsp. enterica serovar Typhimurium. Its description in RNAcentral is "partial 23S ribosomal RNA". It matches the Rfam family "Bacterial large subunit ribosomal RNA", at positions 1178 to 1874 of the family's 2925-position model. The record is from RNAcentral. Lineage: Bacteria; Pseudomonadati; Pseudomonadota; Gammaproteobacteria; Enterobacterales; Enterobacteriaceae.